RNAcentral lists this long non-coding RNA (433 nucleotides) under Capsicum annuum. Its description in RNAcentral is "long non-coding RNA (CANN_LNC003803)". The record is from RNAcentral. Lineage: Eukaryota; Viridiplantae; Streptophyta; Magnoliopsida; Solanales; Solanaceae.
AUAAAUCUGAAUCCUCAAUUCUUUAGACUAGAAUAAUAACACAUCAAAUCCCCCAAAACUAGCACAUUGCAACCUAAAAGCCAAUUCUUCCAUUACAUCUACAACUACUGCAACUACUAAUGACAACACAGAGUUUGUACAGGAACCUAUUGGAUGAUUACCACAGCAUUACUAGAGAUAGCUUGUUGUUGGAUUGAGAUACGUUCUCCUUCUCUUUCCUCUCAUAUAUCAUUACCAUUACAAGCCGUAAAAUAUGAGCCAAUUGAGUAUUGGCUGAGAAACAUGUGGUCGAGUACCAUUGCACUUAUCAGGAUAUAAAUAGCAAGUUCAAUCUCUUCUCCUUUUCCAUGAAAUCCACCGAAUCUCACUUCUUUUAGCUUAGCGUGAUAUGUAGGAGAUAAGGAAGACCUUAUGUGACUACCUCUUGCAUUUU